GGCAAGGGCCCGGGAAGUGGGGCAGAGCUGUCCCUUCAUCCUGGCCCAGAGGUGGGGAGCUGCACGUCGCUGGCCCCUGUACCCUGCCCACAACCUGUGUCUUCACUUUCUGGGGGCCUACCCCACACUUGCAGAUGAAGAAAUCGAGUUUUGGAGGAGGAAAGUAACUUGAUGAAGGUGAGAGGGCCGAAGAGAGCCUGCACUCAAUCCACAAGGCACGCCGAUUCUGCUCCAUGUUUCUUCUCCAGCUCCCUGUGCACAGCCCAUCUGCACUCCGAUCUUCCUGUGAGAAGUGAGGGAGCAAGCAGUGUAGUUCAGGGCUCCUGGAGACUGAGAUGUGGGUGGCGGUUACUCAGACGAAGGCUGAUGCAAACCUAGCAAGCCCUGAAUAAACCGAGGCACCUUUACAGAAUCUUGACGUUACCAUUAUUGUAACUGAGAAAACUUCACCCCAAACCAGGUCCCAACUCUUCUGCUUUCUUCUCUCCCUCCGUUCUGAUAUUCUCUCUCCAUCUUGCUAGUCCUUUCCUUCUCCCUUGUCUGGAUACUCCUCCAAGAAGCCUCCCUGCCUCCACAACAGAACCCACAGUUGGCUUGUUGUCACAGUCUCCUGCAGAAGCAGAUGGACCCCACCCAGGGUUUUGCUUGAUGUCAAGACUGAUGACGCCACACAUGCCAGGAGGGUGAGGCUCUUCUCCAUGGAGAAGAGUUGACACAAUAAAGUCAGCUGAUGGACGAGAUGAGGCUGUGGAUGAUUUGUCACUGGAACCAGGGGACUUCAGACCCUUGUCAUGAACUUUGAGGUUUCUCCUGCAUCUCUUCAGCUCAGAGACCUUUCCAGGGUCCACAUCUCCCAACAUCCCUCCUCCAGCUCUGUCUCCCCCCACCCCCAUCUAUCUGACACUCCUCCACAUUCCUUACCUCGAGCCCUCCCCCACUCCCGGGCGCCCUGCUCCCACUCCACAUUCCCUCAGGAUACUCCCCUGGAGUGGAAAAACCAUCCCUCAUCCCUUUCCUGCUCCCAGCCCUGGGAUCGGACAUGCUGGUCAUUCCUGUUUGGGAUGGCCCAAGAGAUAAUGGCUGGCAUACAGCCCAUCUGUCAUCACAGGAUUCUCAAAGCUGUUUCAGGUAGGACCCCUUGCCCACACUGAGCAUCCACCCUGGCCCCUGCUUUCCUUGGCCCCUGCUGUCUCCCCUUCUCCAGAAACAAGGUGGAGGACCUGGCAGCCAGCCCAAAGGAGAAUAAGACACAGGUGUGGUCAGUAGCUUCCAGUGCUAGCUCUGCCUGCCUCGAGCUGCCUGACCUUGGACAUCCAGGUUUCCUCAUAAGUCAAAUGAAGAUGAUAAUACUGACCUCGCAGGGAGGACAGGAGGAUGAAAUGAGUCUUCACAUGAAACAAUUCAUACACUAUAAUGUUCAAGUCCCCCUCCAGGUUCUCAAUCUAAUUCUGUACUCCAGAACUCCUUUUUCUUUUCCUUAGGGAGGGUGCCAAAUUGUACAAGUUUAGGUCCCCCCCCCAAACUUAGACCUGCCCUGAGUAGUGUACAAAUGUUAAUGAUUAGCACAAGUGGUCAAGAAGGACUCUGAGGUCAGAUAAUACAUGAUGAAAAUCCAAGCUGUGUGGUCUUAACCAAGUUGCUUAGCCUUUCUGAGUCUCAGGUUCCUCAUGAAGCAGAUAAUCCUCAAAGAUUAUUGUGAGGUUUGAUCUAAUAAUCCUCGUAAAGUACUUAGCAUAGUUCCUGCUGCAUUAGCACUUUUUCCUUUUUUUUUUUUUUUUAGCAUUUUCUACAUAGUAGUUUUCAUUUUAUUAUUAUAAACUUCCAGAAACAGGGACUCUAAAUCAAACUGCAAGAGAGUGAGGGCUGAGGGCUGAAUUUCUGGGCCAAAAGAAGAAAGUUCCUUCAGCCUGGAGAAAACAAUGUUCAGGGGAAGUGGGUCUUUGUACUUGCAAUAUGAAAAAUCUGAGUUAGAUUCAAGAAAGUACAUAGUGACCUCUUGAAGUUCCCUUUCAAUUAGAUUCUUCUGAGGAUGACCGGGCCUUUGGGCCCUGCCCACCUACCUCCACCUAGUGCCACUCACUACACACCUACGGAGGCUGGCGUCCCCGCCCCAUCUCCAAACACUCAGGCUGAGCCCGGGUAGGAGGAGGAGGAGACAUUUGGGAUUCUGCUGUGCCGGGCCCUGAAGGCAGGAGCGGAUGAGAUAUGGGUGCAGUCUGGGCCCAGUUCCCUGGCCACACAGUGCAUUCUAAGGAGAAGGGACUCAUUUACACGCCGGAGGGUGUAUGAGGGAUACCAGAAGGCGGAGCCCUGUGGGGGAAGUGCUGUCUUGCUGCUCAUUACAAUUAGCAACGCUUGGUUAGUACCACUGCUAAAUAUCUGUCGGGCUUUGCCGAGGGAACAUAUCCAGCCCGGGUCAGGGUGGGUGGGUGCGGGCGGGCCAGAGAAGCACAUCUGGACAAGGACAGCGAAGGGCCUGGGUGCGAGGAAGAAGGCCCAGAGACCGCCAACCGCCUCUCAGGGAUUCACAGCGCUGCGGAGGCGAAGCCGGCAUUGCCCCGAGCGGCGCGCAGAUGUGGGCUCCCAGAUGCGCCAACGCCGGGGCUCUCCAGCCGGCCCGCCGAGGUGGCCGCGCCGGGAACGGCCUUGCCAGCAGCAGCAGCGGCCGGAGCCCAGCCUCCAGACAAAUCCCACCCCCGGCCCCGCCCGGCCAAUCCAUCUUGCUCGGGAGGUGACGCUUCCUAGGAGAAGCAAGGGGCGGAGAGGGGAAACCCAAGCCUUUGGGGGCUCCCGACAGGUGUUUGGGGGAGAGGGCGGAGCCUGGUCGGGGAGGAUGAGGAGGGAGGGGCGGUGCUGCCCCUUUAAGAGGCGGUGGCGGAGCCGGGACCUUUUCUCUUUCCCCGGAAGGAAAGCGGAGCCCCGGCUGGGCGCGCAAGGUGGGGAGGUGCGGGGCUGGGCGUGGAGGCGGGGCGCGCGCGGAGAGGACCGCUCCCUCCCGUCUUCCUCGCGAUCCACGGGUCUGCGUUCCCAGAUCCGCCGCGGAGCCCAGGGCGAAGGGGGCGCGGCCGGGACGAGCCGGGGGCAGUGCCCGGGGCGGGGGGGCCGUGACCGGCGGCUGGGCAGGCGGGACGGUAGACCGGCGAGCCUCGGAGAGGAAUCGGGGCGCGCAGACCCUGGGCGGACGUGACACCGACGCGGCUGAGGGCCAGAAACUUCGCAGCGCUGCGGGGCUCCGGGACGCGCCCGCCGGAGCGGUCUCCGCGGUCCCCCGCCGAGCGCGCGGCAGGUGGACGGGU
Long non-coding RNA from Canis lupus familiaris (dog), 3296 nucleotides. RefSeq lists it as uncharacterized. NCBI's taxonomy places the organism in Eukaryota, Metazoa, Chordata, Mammalia, Carnivora, Canidae. The transcript has 4 exons. The record is from RefSeq and is a predicted model, not a curated record.